AUGGUGUCAGUCCUGGAGCUGGACAUGCGGAUUCGUGAGCGCGAGCUCGCGCUGACGGCCUCCGAGCUGGAGAAGCGCAAGCGCCUGGAGAACCUGGACCGCACCAUGGCAGUCGACGAGGCCUCCUGCGCCGCCCGCAUAGCAAAGGCCAACGCCAAGCUUGAGAAACAUGAGAUGAGAUACAAGAUGGAGGCCAACCGGAAGGCCCAGGAGGAGCCUUUUCAAACAAGGGGGUGGUGGAUCCUUGCGAGACUGGCGAUGCCAGCUACAUGGUAUUCUUCACCAAGCUCGUGGAUCGGCUGCGGGCUGGCACUGCCCGGUGGAACGAGCUCCUGCACAGGGAGUGUCGUGAUCUCCUGCGCCACGCUCCGACCCAUGUCUUCAUCAAUCUUCGGAAGAGCUCCAAGACAGCCUCGCGAGGGAGUGGAAGAGCACGUGGCGAAUCUGGUGGAUCAUUCCGCGCUCGUCGGGGAGGAGCCCGGCGGAGUCGAGGGCGCUAUCGACACCGACACCCCCGACGACGGCUCGUCCGUUUGGGUCUUUACCUUCCAUUCCCUGUAA
Molecule: ribosomal RNA, 561 nt
Filed under: Triticum aestivum (bread wheat)
Lineage: Eukaryota; Viridiplantae; Streptophyta; Magnoliopsida; Poales; Poaceae
Description: partial small subunit ribosomal RNA
Source: RNAcentral